This 494-nucleotide ribosomal RNA is filed under the name uncultured bacterium. Its description in RNAcentral is "partial 16S ribosomal RNA". It matches the Rfam family "Bacterial small subunit ribosomal RNA", at positions 28 to 507 of the family's 1533-position model. The record is from RNAcentral.
GACGAACGCUGGCGGCGUGCUUAACACAUGCAAGUCGAACGGAAAGGCCUGCUUUCCCUUGUGGAUUGCGGGUACUCGAGUGGCGAACGGGUGAGUAACACGUGAGUGAUCUGCCCCCAACUUGGGUAUAAGCCUGGGAAACUGGGUCUAAUUCCCGAUAGGACUGCAGGGUGGUGCCUGUGGUGGAAAACGAUUUUCUAGUGGUUGGGGAUGAGCUCGCGGCCUAUCGGCUCGUUGGUGGGGUAAUGGCCUACCAAGGCGGCGACGGGUAGCCGGCCUGGGGGGGUGGACGGCCACAUUGGGACUGAGAUACGGCCCAGACUCCUACGGGAGGCAGCAGUGGGGAAUAUUGCACAAUGGGCGGAAGCCUGAUGCAGCGACGCCGCGUGGGGGAUGACGGCCUUCGGGUUGUAAACUCCUUUCGACCGCGAGGAAGCCACCUGGUUGGAAGGGUGGUGACGGUAGUGGUAGAAGAAGCACCGGCUAACUACGUG